CCAGAUGUCUUUACAGCAUUAGUAAUACCAGCAUAUAUUCUAUUAUACAGCCGAGGAACACUGCAAAAGAUAGUGGGUCUUAGAGCAGCCAUAUCAUCCAGUAGUUUCAUAUUAUCUCCCUGGUAGAAUCCAACAGCAACUCCAUAAUAUGCUGUCAUGACCUGGUUUGCCCGUUCAUAAAUGUGUGCCAAAGGCAGAUAUGAUAUGUAAACAUCUGAUGGGUAAAAUUUAGUAGCAAUACUGGCCCCAGCAACAUUUGCAAUCAAGUUUCCAUGGGUCAACGCGGCACCCUUUGGUGUCCCUGUUGUACCACUUGUAUAGCAAAUUGUAGCAACAUCCUCAGGUUUUGGCGGGCAAAAAGGCUGAGGAUUACUGCAGCCCUGACUAAGUAGUUUUGAAUAUGUUAUAACUUGAACUCCAGUUGAUGAUGGAAGAGAUGGCAUUUGAUCAUCCAUCCCUCCAACAACCACAAUCAGACGUACAGUUGAAAUUUCAGACAAGAAGCUCAACAAAGGGGUCAAUGUUUGGGGCACGCAAAAUAUAGCCCGCACAUCAGCAUGAUUUACAAUAUACUUGAC
This 578-nucleotide unclassified non-coding RNA is filed under the name Hevea brasiliensis (rubber tree). The record is from RNAcentral. Lineage: Eukaryota; Viridiplantae; Streptophyta; Magnoliopsida; Malpighiales; Euphorbiaceae.